This is a long non-coding RNA of Mus musculus (house mouse), 3443 nucleotides long. RefSeq annotates it as predicted gene, 31562. The transcript is spliced from 4 exons. The record is from RefSeq and is a predicted model, not a curated record. NCBI's taxonomy places the organism in Eukaryota, Metazoa, Chordata, Mammalia, Rodentia, Muridae.
GAAUGUAUAGCGUGACUGAGCAGGCUCAGGGAUCUCUUGGGAAAAACAAAGGUGAGCUGAAGUGCUCUGUGCAGAUUUUCACUCUGCCAAUCCUCCAAAUCCUCCUGUUUCCCUUUUCUUCCCUCCCCCAUCCCAGGUUAGAUAUCAGCCUGUGACCUACUGACCUACCUACCACAGGAGGAUCCUGGAGGCCUGAGAGUCUGGGUGUAUGGGGAAGACAGCAGCCUCUUUCCCCUGGCUCUUUUCCAUCCCAACUGCACAGGCAUUCUGCUCAACCUGAACCUGCUUGAUAACCGCCUUUCUCUAGCUGCUCAGUGGUCUGAAAUGAAGACAGAGCCACUUGAUUCUUAAGGUCAUGGGAUCUCUGAUGCUGGUCCUUUCAGCAAAAGCAUGUAUGAGCAUGCUUGAAGGUUACAGAGACAAGCAAAUGGGACCCAAGGAAAACAUUUCCUUGGAAAAAGUAAAUUUAGCACUUGGCUCAAGUGCUACAAAAGGAAUCUACAGGCAGAAUGAUGUUAUUAGAAGACCUCCAGUUUAUAUUGCUCUUUCAUCAGUAAGAGCUUAAGGUGCUCUCUGACAAACUGGUUCUAUGACAUUCUACUAUGACAAGGUCACGUGGGCACCUGCAGCACACCCGCUUUCCAAAUAAAAUAAAAAGUCUUAGGCCACUUCAGGGCUUUACGAAAUCACAGAGACAGCACCACUCCCAGCCUUUGUGAGGUGAUCUCCUGAGCAGAGAAAAAACGCAGCCCACGGUAUUCAUCAUGCACACCUUCCCUGAUCACCGAGAGUUCCAGCCAAAGGUACAAAAGAGCGGCUGCUGUCAUCAAUCAUUCCUGCAUGAAGGACAAGGAGUCCUAAUGGUAGCUGAAAGGCAAUUAGUUGUGGGAAUACACGAGGGAACAACAACAACAACAACAAAUGGGGAUGUUUAGCUCUGUAAAAAACAGAAACUGUAACAGACCUCUCCCCAGGACCUCCACAGACCCCAGGACAGCAGUUGAUCCUCACACCCACAGCUCCAAGGUUCAUGUCUUCAGUCGGUUCCCACCUUACAGGCCUGUUUUGAAGGCUGUGGAGUCUGCAGAAGAUGGAACCUGGAUGGAAGAAGGAUGGGGGCUGCUGGCCCUCUUUUCUAACUUCUGAGGUCUCUUCUUCUGUCCAAGCUACACAAAGGCUCUGAACCACACAUUUCUACUGCCACUACCCGACUCACUCGGUAUUCCUUCCUUGCUAAAAUGGACUGUAUUCAUCCCAAACUGUGAGCUAAAUUAACCCUUUCCUUCCUUGCUAGCUUCUGUCAGAUAUUUGGUCACAGCAAUACAAAAAUAAUGAAUUCAGGGACCAGUGUGGCUUCUAACACAGGUUUUAAAGUAAUCCAGCAUACUAGCUUAGAGCCUAGCUUUUAAGAUAAAUUAUUUGUACAUCAAUACUAAAAACAAAAUGAAAAACCUCCUUCAGCUAAUUCAGCAGAGGAUUUAUAGAACCUGUGCUAACCACCACAACUGAAGACAGAACUAGUCCUGGAUGUCACAAGGCAAAUGGUCACAAAGAUCAGGGGAUCUCCUUGGAGUCUGCCUGGGAAAUUCUAGAGUGGAGUGUGCAGUCCAGCAAGUCUACCAGAGUUCUUAUUUUCCCACAUUUGCCUUCAGGGAAGUUGGAGAGCUGCUUCAGACCUCUGCUGACGUCUCUUCCUCCGCACGCCAACCGACACACCUCACUUCUUCCUUCUGGCUCUCCUGUUUUCUAAAAAGACAGCGUUAAGGCCAAGAAUCAUCUGGCCUUACAGUUCAAGCCCAACACAGAUACAAGCGACACAAUUUACCAGGCCUCACAAAUUACAGUUUUUAACCCCUUUCAUCCCUGCAUUGGCACGCAGUUUGCUAACUUUAAUAGUCCCUCACAAAGCAGCGAGUGUCAUUAUUACCUGUAUUAAGGUUUAAGAAACCGAGUCACCCACAGGCCACAGACUGAGUCAGAGUGAGAGGGAGUCUGAGCUCCUGACUACCAAAUGCCUUGCCCUCAUACGACUGCAGGAGCAUUUCUUAUUUGAAGCUGGCGAUUCCAGUGCUUUCUCUAUCGUCUUGUCUUUAUUCUAUAGCUAGCAAGGCUGUUGUAACCAAACAGAGGAAGAAGAUGGAAAAGGAGUGGUUUGAAUAUCCUCACAUAUUGGAAAACAUCUGAGACGCUAAGAUACCAAGAAUUCCAGCCCUGGGCACUCAGCAAGGACUGGAGCUUGGGCAGGAAUUCCUCUCUGGUGAUUUUCUACAGUAAAAAAAAACUUGCACAAGGGCCAGAGCUGGAUCUCAAUGGUAGAAUGUUUGCCUAACAUCCACGAAGUCCUAGUUCAAGUCCAAGAACUACCCAGCUUCAAAACUGUACAACUUUACACAAAAGCAAAAGCAUCUUAACGCAGGAUGAGGAGGGAGAGAUGGGUUUGAAGGAAAUGAUGCCUUAACUGAUAUUAAUUAGGGAUUCACACAUCCAAGUGGACAUGAACAUCUGAAGCAAGCUUCCAGGCAAAGGGAACGGCAUGAUCAAAAUUGAACCGGCAAGGAAGGACACAUCAUAUGCAGAGAAAGACAAAUUGUUUGGUACCAUUCAAGCAUGAAUCAGGGAGUGGUAGACAAAGGAGUGUUGGACAGAGGCAGGCAAUGUAGAGAAGAUCUCCCGUGCAUAUCCACAUCCAGUGCUCACUCCACUCAGCUAAAAGCUGCCCACACUAUUGGAUUCUAUAUGGAUACAUCUCCCCCCCCCCAACCCCCGUCCCCCUUCUGUUCUAGUCUGGAGCUUCAGUUGCCAUUAACCAAAUCACCUCAGUGUUCCCUCCUUGUUGAAAUGAACUGUAAGCAUACCAAACUGUGAGCCAAAUUAACCCUUGCUCUCCUUCCUUGCUUCUGUCAGAUAUUUGUCACAGUACCAUUCAUGUUCUGUUGUAACUUUGAGGACCAAUGACCUAACGUCCUUCCUGGUUUCAAGUCUUCAUGGAGGCUCUGUGUCAAGGGGCAGUGGUGAGGUGGGAGUGUGUAUCUUACUUAUUUGUCAACUACUGUUAUGGUUUGGAUCUUAAAUGUCAUUCAAAGGCCACAUUACAGGCCGGGUCCCAGUCUAUAGUGCUAUCUAGAGGCAAAGGCACUUUUAGGAGGUGGGGCCUAAUGGAAGGAAUUGGGAGGUGUUUCCUUGAGGGGAUAUGGGGACUCCAGCCUUUUACUCUCUUUGAUUCCUAGAUGUGUGAAGUGAGUGGCUUUAUGCCCUGACCACUCCCACAGGGAUGCUCCUACUUGGCACAGCCCCAAAACAACUGACCAUCUGACUGUACAUAGAAACCUCUGACCCAGAAUAAAGCUUUCUUCCCUUUAUAUUCUCUUUCUCAAACAUUUUGAUACAGUGAUGAAAAACUAAAGCAAGAAAUUAAAUGAAAUUUUUAUUUCUGUUGUCACUUU